This is a non-coding RNA of Meleagris gallopavo (turkey), 4910 nucleotides long. The record is from RefSeq and is a predicted model, not a curated record. NCBI's taxonomy places the organism in Eukaryota, Metazoa, Chordata, Aves, Galliformes, Phasianidae.
UAGUUUUCUAAACCCAUAGGCAGAUGGAGGGGCAGAGGUGGUGGUGUGGUGUGGCCACAUCCUCAUGACUUUGUGUUGCUAUCUUCUAGGGUGAUCCUAAAAAGAAGACUGCUGACAUUAGGGAGAAAAUGCUCUGGGAAUUGGUAUUCCUAUCCCUGCUGUUUAUGUGGAAACAGUGGAGGUUGGGAUCUUCAGCCUUCAGAGCCAUAGGUUGCAGAACCCUCUUUAUGAAGGGGCAGGAGAUGUCCCAGCUCCAUUACCUGAGCAAAUGUAAGGAUAUGACUGGUGGGCAGGGGGUGCAUGGGGCAGCACUGGGGCCGUGGGGUGAGGGACAGCCUCUUCUCUGCUUCAACUGGCCUCAGGACUGGGCAUAUCCAAGAACAUGGACUGAGUGAGGUGACCCUGUUGGGUGCAGCAGCAUUAAUGCCAUCAAUGUGCGCAUGGCUGAUUGCUGCUCGUUGGCACGUGGUGGGUGCUGAGAAUGAUGACUUUGCUACAAAGUCAUUAACAAAGACAUGAAUCCAUCCCUUCAACCAAAUUGUACAGGAGGCAAUCUAGCAGUGGCUAUGAGUGAUUGACCUGAUCUCAAGGUUCUUGGGAAAGGAAAGGAACUUUGCUGCUCCCUAGCUCAAAAGCAGCCCCCUUUUCCUUGAUGUGGAAACCUGUCCUCAGGCUUUGCCAGGGGGCACUUCAAGUAAGAGAGGACUUUCUAUGGCAAUUCCUGUGGGAUCUGCUCUGCAGAGUCUGUGUUUCUGAGGCUGUUGCAACAAGGAAAGAAUGAAGCAUGCGUAUAACCGCUUGUAGCGGGACAACUUGGAAGCACAACAUGGCAUUUUCAGGAAAACACAGCUGCAUUGCCCCCUUCCUCCCACUUUCUCAGACUGGAGGUAACUCCCUCUCCACCCCCCUCACCUUCCUCCCCCAGGGCGAACACAGACACACACAGAUGCCCCUGGUUGUCUGCAAUCAGACUUCCUAUCUGCAAAGCUGUUCAGACAGCAUUUGCUAUACGAAGCAUCAGCAAAGGCUGAAGUCCUCGAGCUGAUUUUAUCAGCACUUGUCUCCAUGUGUCACAUCAGAAAGUGUUUUUUGUUGGUCCCUCACACCACACUGAGGGAAGUCAGCUCCUAAUAUGCAGUUUAAAAAUAAAAUAAAAUAAAAAAUUGGUGAUAAAUCUAUGUAAUAUUAUCUAAGCACUGCUUCACAUGGAGUCUGUAUUUCUGAGGCUAUUGCAGCAGGGUAAGAAUGAAGCGUGCACAGAAUUACUCGUAGCAGGAUAAUUUGGAAACACAACAUGGCACUUCCAGGAAAAAGAGAUUCAUCUCAGUGCAGCACAGUGCUCUGCUGGCUGCCUGCAGCAGGUUGAUCUGAUUACAGCACAAAUUCUUCUGUCCUCAUUUCAGGGCUGCGAGUAUCUCACACUUUCGCACUCAUGCUUCAGUCUGAAACCUCUGUACUCAAGUGGAAAGUCCUACAGUUACAGCUGGCUUGGGCAGCGCAGCCCCACAGUGCAGUGCCAUUCCCAGUGCUGGAGGUGUGGGCACAGCAGUGGUCCCACCGCCCACACCAGGGCUGAGCUGGGAGCUGGAACCCUGCCUGGAGCAGCUCUCUCCUUCUGCACCACCUGCUGCCCCAGUGCUGCUGUCUUCCCUGACACAGGUCUGCGAUCACAAAGAGAGAGCGUAAAAGCAGCCUUACCUCUUCAGGCAGUGACCCAGCUGGCUCAGCGCUGCAGGCAGGAGGAAGUGCGCCGGCUGCAGCACCGCACCAGCCUUGUUUACACCAGCGUGGCAACCUGCGUGACAUCACGGCCUGCCCAAAGGAGUGCAACCAGGAAGCGAAAAGCAGAUGUGGACGUUGAAGGACAUGAAUGCGUUAUUUAUUCGAAACCCCUUUCCAUCAGAUAACAGAAAGAGGAACGCUGACAAGCAUUUCAAAAUGUGCUGCUUCCAGCUCCCCCCCUCCCAUGAUGGGAAUCGUUCCUGCCUUGGAGGGCUACAAUUGAAACAGCCAUAGGGGAAAGAGGUGUCCUGGGAGAAAUAAUUUUGGAGUACCUGGUGGUAUUUUUGUGUUUUGGAGUUGUGAACCCUUGCCAGCACACCUCAGGCUUCAUGCACCCCAGCUGAGUCCCUGGACCCCCAGAACUGGGUGGCACUGGGAUUUUCCCCCAAGAAAAUGCUGCUGCCAAAGCAGCCACAGGCAGUCAUCCAGUGGAGUGGUUGUUUUCUCACUUUUGCUGUUUGCUUCUAAAAUUCUCUUAUUUCAGCAGAAACUAGGAAGGAGGAAACGUCUCUUACACUGUAGCAAUCCACAGCCUCUGAGGAGCAUUUUCCAUGCCACUAAAAAUAGGUUUAUCCAUUGCCCGGGCUGAAACUUCUUUGCUGUCCUUCCCAGUUCCAAAUCCCCCAACACGGUACCUCUGGCUUUUUGGAGAGAAUGAAAGAAAAGGAGGGAAGGGCCAGGAGGGAAUGCUUUCUUAUUUGUCAUAGCAUGAUGGUUUUAAUUGCUUUGCCUGCUUUGUCCAAGAGGAUUGCAAAUGUUCUGCUUCUAAGGGUGUCAGUAGCUGUAAGUAACCCGUGCUCUACAGCAGCUCCAGCACUCCUGUGUGUGUUUCCUUACCUGCCCACAUCCUGAAUGCAUCCCAGCAUGCCUUUGGGAGCACUGUGCUUGUUUCCAGCAGUGCUCCUGCAGGACCCAACUCAGUGUAAAUGUCACACGAAUGACAGAGUUUGCAGAGCUCUGUGUGAGGGUUCAGCUCUUCAUGCACUGCUGCAAGGAAUGGAAUCAUAGAAUCACCGAAGUUGGAAAAGACCUGCAAGGUCACGCAGUCCAAGGAGGUUUUUCCCAUCUCCCAGUACCAGAUCAUUGUAUGAAAGGAGCUAGGUCAGCUCUGCAGCAAUCACCUGCCAGCUAUGGCAACUCCUACAUGACUAACCACCUACUAUUGGCAAGCCAAUUAGAAGAAGAGUGCUAAUGAAAGCCACGAUCCUGGCAUGUAGCAGUUCGCCCUCAGGAUGUUGCCAUUGAGAACCUACAUGAAUACAGUAGCUGGCUUUCAGAAAAGGAGGCUUUCAACCUGUGCAGGACCACUGGGGCAUCCCCCACAGCUCAUGCUACUGCUCGAGGCAGCAGGUUUUGUAGCUUUGAAGAGCCUGGCUCUGCUGUGGAAAGUUCAUGAAACCAGUGUGGGAAGAUCCAUGGUUCUGAGUUCAUCUAUUUGCAUCUUUGCAUUGCUUCCUCUCUGCAAAACAGGCCAGAGGAGUUCCCUCCCACCUGUUUUGUGAUGCUGCCUAUAGGCACUGGAGCACACAGCAUGCUUUUGGCAUGCACAGAAAGGCAGAGGAGCAGGCACUGAGAAGACUGGAAGGAAAACAACGAUGCUUCAGCAGCCACUGGUGUGCCGAUGUCCUGAAUGCUGUCCGUGAUGCUGUGGGCUGUGAAGUGAAAGGCAAGCGUUUUCAUGUGAACUGGAACACAAAAACAGUGCUUUAAUUCUAUGGGGGGAUUCCUGAGGCUGGAAAAUACCCUUCCAGCAGUCAUGAGCCCCUCCACUCCUGUACUUCAUCGUGCUUCCCCUUUCACUUCAGCUGGGCAGACAGCAGCAAAUGUUUCAGCAGAGAUCUUGAAUAAAUUGAAAAACAGGAAUCAGUUGACAAGACUGAGGUCAGGCUGCUAACGUCCACAAAUGAGGUUGGUACGCAAAUCAAACUGUGGGACAGCAAAUGUCAAAGCAAGUCAGCUAAACUGACAUAUUGAAGUACUGGAAGAGGCAUGGCACUAAUGCUAAUCCCAUACAAGAUCCGUUCCUACAUCCUGCCCUAAACCAAAGCCACCUGCAGUUGAAAGAGGAUGAAAUUCUUUGUAACUUCACUGGUUGUCCUUCAGAGUCAUAUUCAGGCAUAUAGAGAAGGGUCUGAGGCCCAAGGAGCCACUGAUGCUGCUGCUGACCGACACGGCCAAGAAGAAUGUAGACUGGAAAGCGCUACCCAAGGCCCAGACAGGAAAGGGUUGAUAGGGAUGCAGGGGAGGGUACAGCUACACGAAGAGGGAGAAGUAGGGCGACGGAAACACUUUGUGGGACCACACUGCAUUACAAUUAGGUUAUUUCCCAAGGGAGGUCUGCAUUGCAGCCAUUGUGCAGAGCUGCCACCGUUCUGGUAGACUCGUGCAGUUCAAGGCUGGUAGGGGGAUCUGUCAGACAAACGAAGUGCCUUAUGGACAUGAACACUUACCUAGGCACGUGCCUAGCUGUCAGGUUGUAAACCUCUUCAGAGAAAAAAAACAAGUUUGAUGACAUCAGCAACUACCCACAAAGCCACUGAUAGUGAAGUCAUGCUCCAGCUCUGCUUGGGGGAGCUGCUGGCUGGUAGAGGGCCCCUAGUGCUCCUCUUUUACUUAUAAGGACCUAGGUAAGCUGUUAUUCUUGCAGCAUGUAACAAGAUGCCAAACUGCUGAACUGCUUGGACUCCACCAAAGCUGAGUACUGCUAGUUAUCAGUGCCAAGGCUGCUCCUUCCUGUGGGUAUGGAGGGCUCCAUCUCAAGUCCUGCAGAACAGCAAGCUCCCGGCAAACAGGCAGAGGAGAUCUGGGGAGGGGAUUGGAAAGGAGCUGUGAUGUCCCACAAAGAGGUGGAUUUGGGCUUCUGAAAUCAGUGGGAGGGCAGCAGCCAAGGGAAUGCAUGUCAGUGCUGGGGCUGCUUCCCAGCCUGGCGAGUGCUGUCCUUUGCUCACAUCUCAUGGGGACUGUUAGCUCCAUCUGUGUGCUGGAAGCAAUGAGUAAGCCUGUACGGUUAUGGGCAGUUUCCUUUGGAUAGAGGAGUCAAGAUUUCCUUGGCAAUGGCAGUGCAUUGGCCCUGUUGAUUUGUUUCAGUCACAACUUCUCCUUUUGAUGGUUUCUCCAGUAUCUCUGUA